AUGGUAUAAUAAAAUCGGAGGCCACGACUGUUUACUAAAAACACAAUUCAGAGCAAUUAUUAAGAUAAUAGUAUUCUGAAUGAAAUUUGCUCAAUGCCAUUAAUAUAAAAGAGGUAAUUUUAAAGUUACUAAUUGAAAGUCUGGUUAAUAGCGGUCUUAACUAUGAGGAUCCUAAGGUAGCAAAAUAAAUUGGCCAUUAAAUGUGGUCUAUUAUCAAUAAUGUAACGAUGGUCUCACUGUCUCUACAACUUGCUCAGUGAAAUUGAAUUGCGAGUGCAG
RNAcentral lists this ribosomal RNA (279 nucleotides) under Russuloid fungal sp. 2. RNAcentral describes it as "partial large subunit ribosomal RNA". It matches the Rfam family "Bacterial large subunit ribosomal RNA", at positions 1773 to 2058 of the family's 2925-position model. The record is from RNAcentral. Lineage: Eukaryota; Fungi; Basidiomycota; Agaricomycetes; Russulales; Russulaceae.